AGCAGAGACUGGUGUUUACAGUUAUUUAUGUCAACAGAACCUGAAUGUUCUCUCUUCUUUCUCUCUGUAGGGCACUGAGUUUCCUUGAAAGAAAGGAUGGUUGCUGUUUAGAAAAGCAAAGAGGCCUAGAUGCUUAGAAAAUGCCAAGCCUUUCAACUCCCAGGAUUUUUGGCAGAUCAGCAUUUGUGCCAAUUUUUAAAGAGGCUGAGAAAGCUUAUUGUGAAGAAUGAUUUUUAGUUCUAUUUUUUUCAUCUGCUAAUGUUGUGUGUUCAGCCAAAGCAUGAACAGCAUCCCACCAGCCAUAUUGUACUACAUUAUGAAAUUGAGAAUUGCAUUAACAGGAUAAUCUCAUAGAUAUUUCCGAGACAGGAGAAAUGUGCGCAAUCAUUUUCUAAAGGGCAAGGAGAAAAUGGCAUCCAAUUGGACAGCAGUUGAUACCGGAAAAGAAGAGUCCAGCCCAAGUGAGCGUCUGGGCUCCUUUCUGUGACAGACGUCACCCUCCCAGCCAGCCUGCCAGUGCCCCAGCAGCAUAUGCUGUAAUCUGGAAGAUGCGGUUUCUAGUUACCAACCUGAUAUCUCUCUGCAGCAUGAAAAUGAAGUGACUAAUGUCAGAAAAACGAACAAACAAGGUAAACAAACAGGCAAGCAAAUGAACAAACAAAACAAUUUUCUAUGGAUCAAUCUAAAACUCCUACCAAGUUCAGUAUCUUCUGUGUAAGCUUGGAGAGAUGCCUUAAGGACUCUGUAAAAGUCACCUCUCUCUGUGCUGAGUCUGGCUUCAGAUUUCUCUCUUGUAUCAUGAGAAAUUAGAACUGAAGAAAAAGAAAGAUUCAAGGUUUUCAAAUGCCAUAUUCAGCCAAGAAGUGAUACACUUGUGAAGACUGAAAGACUGCCUAACUUGAGAAGAAUCACACCCAUGAACACUGUCUGAAACAAACUUAAUAAAAAACAUAUAACUAUUCUAUGAAAUCAGUCUCUGAAUAUUAUAAUUUUUAGAAAAAGUGAUAUUUCACGUGAGAAUAAGUAAUUUACCUAAAACAGACUUCAAUCAAAACCCAGAAUUUGGACCUGGAAGUGAAAACUGGACAUUCAACAUAACUGGUAUAUUCACAAAAGCUAUUAAAGUGAUUAAAAGCCUAGUUUUAAUUCCAUUUUAGUACUGUUACAUCCUUGAUCUUGAGUGCAUUACUAAAAACUCUGUGGUAGUACUCCUUAUUUACAUUGAAUAAUACUGAAUCUGCCUCAUGUGAUUGCCAUGACAUGAGUAUAUUCCUUCAUGUGAAGUUCUGAGAACAGGGUCUGGUCACACCAACAUGGAAUUGCUAUAAUUAUUGUUCCCACUGCAAGUACUAGGAAAUCAACAGAGAAUAUUGCAUUUUCCAGGAUGAUUACUCAGGAAAUAAGAGCUUGGCAGUGGGAUUUGUUGUAAUUUUUAUUCCAAAUACUUUUCUUAUUUAUACUGUUUCAUUUCUUUCUGAAGUCAAUAUGUAUAUUUCUUAGUGAAUUUUAAUUAUAGAGAAAUUAAAACAAAUGCCAAUAACUAUGAAAUUAAUUUUUAAAAACAAACUUAAAUUUUUCAUAAAACAGUUUAUGUUCAAUCAUUUGUUCAAAAUCAAUAGUCCUCAUCCUGGGGAUUAUAUGUGGUAAAUUGUGUAAGUGUCUGAGUUCUGGAUUACUGCAUGCCAAAAACUUAGGGAAAUAAGAUAAG
RNAcentral lists this long non-coding RNA (1708 nucleotides) under Callithrix jacchus (white-tufted-ear marmoset). RNAcentral's name for it is "lncRNA (ENSCJAG00000066882.2)". Lineage: Eukaryota; Metazoa; Chordata; Mammalia; Primates; Cebidae. The record is from RNAcentral.